AUUGAACGCUGGCGGCAUGCCUUACACAUGCAAGUCGAACGGCAGCGGACCUUCGGGUGCCGGCGAGUGGCGAACGGGUGAGUAAUAUAUCGGAACGUACCUUUCAGUGGGGAUAACGUAGCGAAAGUUACGCUAAUACCGCAUAUUCUGUGAGCAGGAGAGCAGGGGGAUCGCAAGACCUUGCGCUGAUUGAGCGGCCGAUAUCAGAUUAGCUAGUUGGUGAGGUAAAGGCUCACCAAGGCGACGAUCUGUAGCGGGUCUGAGAGGAUGAUCCGCCACACUGGAACUGAGACACGGUCCAGACUCCUACGGGAGGCAGCAGUGGGGAAUUUUGGACAAUGGGCGCAAGCCUGAUCCAGCCAUGCCGCGUGAGUGAAGAAGGCC
This 384-nucleotide ribosomal RNA is filed under the name uncultured bacterium. RNAcentral's name for it is "bacterial SSU rRNA". It matches the Rfam family "Bacterial small subunit ribosomal RNA", at positions 30 to 416 of the family's 1533-position model. The record is from RNAcentral.